AUGCAACUCUCCAGUCCAGUCCAGGUGAGAUGUCACCGUCCACCACUAGGGGGCUCGGCAGGGAGGGGGCGGCGGGGCUGGCUGGGAGAGGUGGGACGGAUGAGUGGUGCGGCUAGGCGAGGCGGGAACGAUCGGGGCCGGUCAGAUCCGGUCGUCGCCAUCGUCGGUCUGGUCGGGAGGAGGCCGGCAGUCGCGUGGGACGGUCCGGCGGAGCCCUGCAGUGCGGGAAUGGAGAGAGAAAGAGAGAUUAGUGAGGAGAGGGAGAGAGAAGGGAGGAGGAGGAUGCCGGCAGUCGCGUGGGACGGUCCGGCGGAGCCCUGCAGUGCGGGAAUGGAGAGAGAAAGAGAGAUUAGUGAGGAGAGGGAGAGAGAAGGGAGGAGGAGGAUGCUGGGUGCGGCUGACCGGCAGAGGACGGCGGCGGCGGCUUGCAGGUGCGUGGGCGGCGACCGGAGGCGGGGUCGGCUCGGGGCGAUCGGGAGGAGCGGCGGCGCUUGCUACGAUCCGUUUUUCUUUUCUUUUUGA
RNAcentral lists this ribosomal RNA (522 nucleotides) under Triticum aestivum (bread wheat). RNAcentral describes it as "partial small subunit ribosomal RNA". The record is from RNAcentral. Lineage: Eukaryota; Viridiplantae; Streptophyta; Magnoliopsida; Poales; Poaceae.